RNAcentral lists this ribosomal RNA (486 nucleotides) under uncultured bacterium. Its description in RNAcentral is "partial 16S ribosomal RNA". It matches the Rfam family "Bacterial small subunit ribosomal RNA", at positions 28 to 507 of the family's 1533-position model. The record is from RNAcentral.
GACGAACGCUGGCGGCGUGCUUAACACAUGCAAGUCGAACGCUGAAGACCUGGCUUUUGUUGGGUUGGAUGAGUGGCGAACGGGUGAGUAACACGUGAGUAACCUGCCCUCUUCUUUGGGAUAACGCCCGGAAACGGGUGCUAAUACUGGAUAUUCACUGAUCUUCGCAUGGGGGUUGGUGGAAAGGUUUGUUCUGGUGGGGGAUGGGCUCGCGGCCUAUCAGCUUGUUGGUGGGGUGAUGGCCUACCAAGGCUUUGACGGGUAGCCGGCCUGAGAGGGUGACCGGUCACAUUGGGACUGAGAUACGGCCCAGAAUCCUACGGGAGGCAGCAGUGGGGAAUAUUGCACAAUGGGCGAAAGCCUGAUGCAGCGACGCAGCGUGAGGGAUGGAGGCCUUCGGGUUGUAAACCUCUUUCGCUCAUGGUCAAGCCGCAACGGGGGGUUGUGGUGAGGGUAGUGGGUAAAGAAGCGCCGGCUAACUACGUG